Non-coding RNA from Triticum aestivum (bread wheat), 135 nucleotides. The record is from Rfam. Lineage: Eukaryota; Viridiplantae; Streptophyta; Magnoliopsida; Poales; Poaceae.
UAAGUACUCCCUUCGUCUGAAAAUACUUGUCAUCAAAAUAGAUAAAAGGAGAUGUAUCUAGAUGUAUUUUAGUUCUAAAUACAUCUCUCUUUAUUCAUUUUGAUGACAAGUAUUUUUGGACGGAGGGAGUAGGAA